AACAUGCUAAAACCCUUCCAACAAGUUCAUUCAGAGAUUUCUCUGAAUAGUCAUAACCUACUGCUUCAAAGCUUGCAUAGCUGAACCCAUCUUCGGGGGUGACAUGGAUAGUGGAUAUUGCACUUCCUUCAAUUCCAUUCAUUGAGUACCCGCAAGGUUCAAAUUCAAAGUCACAAAUGUCAGAUUUUGGAAGGAUCUUCCUGAUUCCAGAAUUCUUGGUCAUCAAACCGGCUGAAGAUCCUUCUGUCUUGAAAAACACAGAUGCUUUUUCUUUAUCUAAACCAGUCAUGCACAU
RNAcentral lists this long non-coding RNA (295 nucleotides) under Medicago truncatula (barrel medic). RNAcentral describes it as "long non-coding RNA (MTRU_LNC004757)". Lineage: Eukaryota; Viridiplantae; Streptophyta; Magnoliopsida; Fabales; Fabaceae. The record is from RNAcentral.